UACGGAGGUUGCAAGCGUUAUCCGGAUUUAUUGGGUUUAAAGGGUGCGUAGGCGGGAAAAUAAGUCAGUGGUGAAAGCCUGCAGCUUAACUGUAGAAAUGCCAUUGAUACUGUUUUUCUUGAGUGUAGUUGAGGUGGGCGGAAUGUGUAAUGUAGCGGUGAAAUGCUUAGAUAUUACACAGAACACCGAUUGCGUAGGCAGCUCACUAAACUAAAACUGACGCUGAGGCACGAAAGCGUGGGUAGCAAACAGG
Molecule: ribosomal RNA, 253 nt
Filed under: uncultured bacterium
Lineage: Bacteria
Description: partial 16S ribosomal RNA
Rfam family: Bacterial small subunit ribosomal RNA
Source: RNAcentral